AUGGAGCCGACCUUGAAAUACCACCCUUUAAUGUUUGAUGUUCUAACGUUGACCCGUAAUCCGGGUUGCGGACAGUGUCUGGUGGGUAGUUUGACUGGGGCGGUCUCCUCCUAAAGAGUAACGGAGGAGCACGAAGGUUGGCUAAUCCUGGUCGGACAUCAGGAGGUUAGUGCAAUGGCAUAAGCCAGCUUGACUGCGAGCGUGACGGCGCGAGCAGGUGCGAAAGCAGGUCAUAGUGAUCCGGUGGUUCUGAAUGGAAGGGCCAUCGCUCAACGGAUAAAAGGUACUCCGGGGAUAACAGGCUGAUACCGCCCAAGAGUUCAUAUCGACGGCGGUGUUUGGCACCUCGAUGUCGGCUCAUCACAUCCUGGGGCUGAAGUAGGUCCCAAGGGUAUGGCUGUUCGCCAUUUAAAGUGGUACGCGAGCUGGGUUUAGAACGUCGUGAGACAGUUCGGUCCCUAUCUGCCGUGGGCGCUGGAGAACUGAGGGGGGCUGCUCCUAGUACGAGAGGACCGGAGUGGACGCAUCACUGGUGUUCGGGUUGUCAUGCCAAUGGCACUGCCCGGUAGCUAAAUGCGGAAGAGAUAAGUGCUGAAAGCAUCUAAGCACGAAACUUGCCCCGAGAUGAGUUCUCCCUGACCCUUUAA
RNAcentral lists this ribosomal RNA (647 nucleotides) under Escherichia coli. Its description in RNAcentral is "partial 23S ribosomal RNA". It matches the Rfam family "Bacterial large subunit ribosomal RNA", at positions 2180 to 2824 of the family's 2925-position model. The record is from RNAcentral. Lineage: Bacteria; Pseudomonadati; Pseudomonadota; Gammaproteobacteria; Enterobacterales; Enterobacteriaceae.